RNAcentral lists this ribosomal RNA (441 nucleotides) under uncultured bacterium. RNAcentral describes it as "partial 16S ribosomal RNA". It matches the Rfam family "Bacterial small subunit ribosomal RNA", at positions 30 to 507 of the family's 1533-position model. The record is from RNAcentral.
UGACCGCUGGCGGCAUGCCUACCACAUGCAAGUCGAUCGGUAAGGCUCUUCGGAGUACACGAGAGGCGGACGGCUGAGUAACGCGUAGGAACACACCCUGCAGUGAGGGAUAAGACACCGAAAGGUGUUCUAAUACCGCAUACGGUCUUCGGAUUAAAGCAUUUAUGCGCUGAAGGAGUGGCCUGCGUCAUAUUAGAUAGUUGGUGAGGUAAUGGCUCACCAAGUCGAUGAUGUGUAGCUGGUCUGAGAGGAUGAUCAGCCAGACUGGAACUGAGACACGGUCCAGACUCCUACGGGAGGCAGCAGUGAGGAAUAUUUCACAAUGAGCGAAAGCUUGAUGGAGCAAUGCCGCGUGCAGGAUGAAGGCCCUCGGGUUGUAAACUGCUUUUAUAAGAGAAGAUUAUGACGGUAACUUAUGAAUAAGGGACGGCUAACUACGUG